AUGCUUACUUCAGCAUCACCUAUACUAAAAAUUGUAAUGAUACGGAGAAGUUUAGUGUGGCCCCUGCACAAGGAUGGCUUGCAAAUUUGUGAUGUGCUCCAUAAAGGG
Small nuclear RNA from Zalophus californianus (California sea lion), 108 nucleotides. NCBI's taxonomy places the organism in Eukaryota, Metazoa, Chordata, Mammalia, Carnivora, Otariidae. The record is from Ensembl.